CUUUCUCAAAAUGUUUGUAUGUUUAUAUUUACAAGUGAAAUAGCUCCUCUGCUCCCUAACAUGGAAUGAAUUAUUCUGGAGGAAGUGAAUGAAAAUGUUGCAUGGAUGGGAUUUGAAGAAGAUGCAUAUCUUCUGCAACUAUUUCUUCUGUUGGACUCAUCAGCUCAUUGACAGCAUGAUGGAGCCAUUAAUGUGGUGCUUCUGACAAUCUUCAUUUCUUCCUGGAACCUCAUAUUUGAGAGAACAUAUUCUGUCUUCAACUACUUCGCUGGACAAGGCAGGAGAGGAAAUCACCCCAGGCAGAAUGUGGCUGGCAUAGCACACGCCACUGCCUUUUCUUAAGGGAAGGCUCAGCGCAGAAAUGCUCCGAAGACUGGGUGCUGUUCUUCUUGCAAGCUUCCACAUGGGGGCACAGACGGUUCACUCUUGCAAACCUCUCCGUCGGGCUGCAGGAGGAAGAAAACCUGAGCCUUAACAAGCACAGAUGUUUCUGGCACCUCUCUAUGUGUGGGAUGUGUUGCACCUCCAGAGCAUGCUGUUCUGCCCAGUGCCUUGGUACCCAGAAGGAACUGCAAGUUACCUGAACAUGUAUGUCCAUCUUCAUUUUAUUUUAUUUUUUUUUUGACUGGUGAGCAAAUGAAUUACAGCAUGUAUCCACUUUAUAGAGACACAGUAGUGCUUGUUAAAUGGGAAGGAAGACCUUGGAUUUCCUCACUUUGCCCACCACAGUGCACAAUAAAAAUUACACCCCUUGAACCUUCA
This 762-nucleotide long non-coding RNA is filed under the name Coturnix japonica (Japanese quail). RNAcentral describes it as "lncRNA (ENSCJPG00005015606.1)". Lineage: Eukaryota; Metazoa; Chordata; Aves; Galliformes; Phasianidae. The record is from RNAcentral.